UCCGCGCGCCCCCGCCCCGGGGAGGCGGAAGGUCGCCGGAAGGGGCGCCGCGCACCAGCCGCGGGCCGGGCGCGCGGGGGCUCUGCGCCUCCCCAAACUGAAAAUCGAAAACGAUCCUUCCGAAGGGGAAGGAUCAAGGUCGUUCGUUUCUGCCCUAAAGUUUCCUGGAAUGAUGCUGAAUUCAUACUGUGGAACAGCCGUUUCAGCCCCCCUUAACUGGAACAGACAUGAUUCCUGCUUUGGAUCCAGAGCUAAGAAAUAAACAACUUCAAGAAUCUUGAAGAGAUGACAAUCCAUCUUCCUUCAACCGGGAUUUUGCAAGAGGGAGCCUGAGACAUCAUCACCUUGCUUUUAUUUUGGACCUAGCUGGCGAUUAUCUUCUGUCUCCAGAAGAGACCACGUUCUGCAUCUGUGAGGUUCACCUUCCAUAAAGGAUUUAGGAUAGAAAUUAAAGAGACGAUGUUCUUAUUAAGAGCCUCAAAUCGGAGGAAGAUGGUAUUUGGGGAGAAGUGGGACAUGACAGACAGACAUUUUGAACAAAGGAUUAUUUAACAAGGACACUCCUGUCUGUGCAGUAAGUCACCACUCAGAGGGAAACCAGUUUGGACAAUUUCAUGAGGAGUUGGCUCUCCCCCUGUCACUUUCCAAAAGGCCUGGCAAAGAUUGUUUUUAAAGGGGUCAGCCUGAAUCCCCAGAAGAACGGCAUGGAACUAGAAGACAAUGAUCUGCCAUUACCAAAGACCAGAGAAACAUGUGGAGUCCAGUGUAAAUUUAUUCAGAAAAUGUCAAAAUUAUUCUAGGAACUAUAGGUGAAAGUGACAGAUGUGCAGAUGAAAAACAGGUAUUUUAAAUUCACAGCUGGGAAAAGGGAAAGGGAGAUUUUUUUUUUCCCCUAUUCAGUCUAACUUUAUGCAUUCAAAUGGGAAAAAGGAUAAUUAGAAGUUAGAAAUUGUUAUUGCAAGAAGAGAGCUCUAAACACUGAAACCAAACUCGGUCUCCCUUAGGGACUAAAUAAGCCUUGAUUUCUAUUGGUAAGAAGAUUGAUACCAAUUCUUGCAAAUCAGGAGGGGGAAUGAUGGAUACUGAUUUUUAUCUUGAGUUAAAAGAGGAACAAGGUUCAUAAUGUGAUGUUUUUGAAAGUCCCAUCAUUGUUUUGUAUGCUUAGUUAAGUUAAGCUAGUUUUAAAAUCUUAGACAAGGUAUGGGAGGUAGGUAUAAUGUCUUCAUUUACAAAAAGGAUGAUGAAUGACCUCAUAGUAACUAAUAUUUAUUGUGCAUUUAUAACAUGUGUUGGGGCAAGGUGUGCAACACUAUUUAUUUCAUUUGAUUGUUACAGUGACUCCCCGAGAUGGGGAAUAUCCUCUUCAUUUUACAGAUGUAAGAGCUGAGCCUUAGGGAUCAAACAGGUGACUUGCCAGGCUCACUGAGCCGGUAAGUAAUGGAGUAUGCCUUGACUCCUGGUCUGUUGAGCCCCAAAUGUAUGACUUUUAUCAUUAUAUACACAGAAACAAGAGCUGAAACUAUAGUCUGAUUCUUGAAACAGUAAAGGAAAUGUGUAUGGUUACAGAUGUCUUAGUUAAGAUGGUAUUCUAAAAGGAAUUAACAUAUGGAUACAUGGCCAAUUUAUAAAUUAUAAUGUAUCAAAAUGCCCACUUAAUAAGGCAGCCAUAGAAAAUAAAGCAAGAAUUCAAUCUUUAAUGUUGUAGAACAUUUAGAGGUCAUUUUUUUCCUUGAACAUCAAUUAUUCUUACAUUACAGAAGAAUGAAAUUGAGCAUGAUAGUAUUUCUUCUUCACCACCCCCCACCUCGUUUUUGUUUUUGUUUUUGUUUUAAGGUAGGGGAGUUAUAAAAACACUGUAUUACUGUCUUGUUUUAGUUGUGGCUUCUGAAAUACUAUAGCACUGAAUUUUUUUUUUCAAGUCAUCACUGAUAACAAAGAGACUCUAAUUGCAACAUAAGUAUCUGAAUCAUAUAGCAAACAGUAACAUUUUCAAUGUUGUUAUAGCAGAGAUACAAGUUAACACAAUAAACUUCUGGUGUGUUUGUGAGGUCUAAGGGCAGAAUCAGGGAGAAAGGAAAGGUCCAGUAUUUCUAAGGAUCCACAGCUAGAAUUCUGGAUUUGGUGAGUCCAAGGAUAUCAGCAUAGUAAGGAGAGCCCAAAUGCAUAUAAAAUUUUGUCUGAAACUAAAGAGUUAUUGAUUAGAUAGAAUUCUCUACAGAAACCCCCUUUUUAGUGAUUCUCUACCACUGAAAAGCAAAGCAACCUGAAAGUCCAAAAGCCUGAACAUUUGAUGAGAAAUUCUCCCCAGAGAGGACCAAUAAAUCUGAGAACUAAUCUGUGAAUCCCAGAGGAAGAAAUCAAGAUGAACCCUGUCAUAUUUAUGAAUUUGGUUAUUACAAUUCUACAAUUUGUCAUAAUGCAGUUGCCUAGGAUUUUAAAAAUCUAUCAGUGAAGGCACCUUACUUUAGAUUAAACCACUUUAUUCUCUCAAUCCUCUUGUUUUUUUUUUUUUUUUGAAGCAAAUACCACACCUGCCCCUCACUAUUCUCUUCUUCAUCCACACCCUCAAAUACACACCACUGAUGGUUGUAUUUUGACAUUAACACACACACACAUACACACAAUUUAUGUUGUACUAAAUGAGAUAGUCAGGUUUAUUCCAGCUUUAAAAUUCUGAAAAUAAAUGCCAAUUAAAAGAAAGUUCUGAUUGUCAGUGAUGGGGAAUGUAAUAUAAUUUGCUCCUACUACUCAUUGCUAUUUAAAUAUAUUCACUAGAAUAAAAAAUUCAAAUACUGUCAAGGAAGUCAUACACUGAUAGCACAGGAAACACUGAAAAUCAUUACUUUCUUCUUUGUGCAUAACUGUCCUCCCUACACCAGAGUCUCAAGUCUUCACUUUCAAGUAUAAAUUAUGUGAAACAGAAAUUUAAGUAAUUUUCUUUUUCUCACUGGUCAGAACAGUGGCCUAAUGAGAUUAAAUUGACCAUAUUUAGCUGUUGUGUGCGUCAGUUCAAGGUGCUAUGUUGCACCGUCAUGCUUCAUCCCCCAGCCCAGCCAUCUCACCCCUGAAAUGUUUGAUUUUAACCCCAAAUGGCAACCCUCAAGACUGGUUAUUUUUUUUUUACACUUACACUGACUCAUAAGUUGUAAGUAGAUCCAAAGCUGACAUUUUCUUCUUUUUCUUUUUUUCUGCUUGUUACUCGACAGAGUCAGCAAAUAAAAGAAGUAAAACGCUGCAUUUGGGAUUUAACAGAUCUUUGGAGAGUGGAGGUUUUGUCUCUGUUUUACACAUGAAACACACGAACUCACAUACACACUCAGAUUGUCCAGUAUUUGAAUAAAUGUACUCUGACGAUUAAAGAAAAACCUGUGAUCUCUAAGUAA
Molecule: long non-coding RNA, 3383 nt
Organism: Mustela lutreola (European mink)
Lineage: Eukaryota; Metazoa; Chordata; Mammalia; Carnivora; Mustelidae
Exons: 2
Source: RefSeq, a predicted model, not a curated record